GUUUAGAAGUUGCAUUUUAAAUUUGGUGGUUGAGGCAAUUUGGUAUAUUGAUCUUUGUUAUUAAUCACAAGAUCAAGGAGUUCAAUGUUUGAGUCAAUUACUUGAGGGUGGGGAUUUGAGGGAAAAAGAGCUAGGGGAAGAAACUUUUUCUCAUAGGCUCUGCAUGGGCUUAUUCCUAUAGUUCAUGACAACAUAAGCGCUUCCGAUCAAAUUAAACACCUACAAUCAAGUUCUACAAAAGUUUCUGCACAUGAGGUGGAGAGGAUGGAGAUGACUAGUUUACAGAGCUUGGAGAACGAUCAAAUAGCUACCUUUAUUUGGAAUUUGGAACCAUGUAUUCGAUGGAUGUCAAACUAUUUUUAGUUUUAGUCGAUAGAUGUGUGAAAUUGUUCCUCUUUUUCUUGCUUUCCCCUUCUUUGUUUCUUCCUUAGCUUGUCAUCUUAUCCUACUUUCUUUUCCAUCUAGAAUGACUUCCCAAGAACUCUAGAGGCUCUUAUACUGCACUUGCUUUCUCCAGUUGGAGAAGAAGUUCUUACUCGAAAAUUUGAUUAGAUGGAUCAAGGAAACACCGAUGAGGAUCAGUUUAUUAUAUUCUUACAAAAAAAAAAAAAAAAAAAAAAAANAAAAAAAAUCGUAUGAUUAUGGAUUCUGUGGGAGAUGUUUUACUUUUGGCUGAUAUCUCUUCAUCCUGGAAAAGGCUCUAAGGGGUUUUCUGUAGUUCAUUUGAUGAUCAAUUUGCUGCCAUGGAUGCAGUUCUAAACAGGAAAGAGUCUUUUGCUCGUCAGGUCAUUGUAACUCUAUUUAACAGUAACAUUUUUAUUAUUUAUUAUUUAUUUUACUUCAACCAUGAUAUCUCCCCUGUUUAUCGUAGUAAUAGCUCUGUGCAAUUUGUUUUUAAUCAUAGGUAGGAUUUGCCUUCUAUAUUUUUUUUCUCUUUUCCCGGAACAAAAUACUGAGCACACAAGUAGAUGGUAUUAGUUAUUGGUCUCGAAGGCAAUCUUUGUGGGCUAACAACAAAAGCUCUUCUCACAUCUUUAUCUCAUCCUCCAAAAAUUUGGCUGGCCUCAAAUUGCAAACAGCAUUCUGCAUUUUUGUGCUCAGCUUUUGUUCUUGUGAAAUAUCUUAUUUGGCUUAUUAGUUAGACACUUCUAUGUAGCUUUCACGCAACCUUGAAAAAUGGGCAGCAUAUUUUCUCAACCAAAACCGCAUACUUUGGCGGUAAAUUUGAUUUAGAUACUGUUACAUAAGUUGAUCUUGCAAAGAUCCUAAUGAAUUAUUGUGUUUGGCUUCCAGGAACUGCAAAUCUUUUCUUUUUUUUGGUUGUUAACUUUUCUGUUUCAGGACUAGAAGCAAUUUAUUUAAUUUUUUAAACUUCAGUUUGAUUAAGUGCCUAAACUGAGUUUUUUCUUCUCACAGCCUUAAAUAUCUUAAAUAUCUGUUCCCUUCCGUGAAUUUGGUAUCUAUUGAUAAUUUUGAAUCUUAACGAAUGCGCAUGCUCUCUGGCCGCAGUUUUCUACUUGUGUCUAUAUAUAUUUUUUAAUUUAUUACGCCAUUUCAGUUUCUGUGUUUUGAAAGGAAGCAUAUUUAUUUCCAUUCCGCAUUUAUUUAUUUUAAAAACAUCAUUAUUGUUGUCACCAAAGAAUAGACACAACUAGCCAACCUGCAUAUUCAUUAGGACUUCUUUUUAUUCCCUCCCUAAUAAAUAAGCAUGACCAGAGAAUAUUCUGCUGCAACGCUUUGAGACUUUACUUGUUGUGUUAUUGUAAUUUAACUUUAAUUUUUUCGUCAGGCGUUCAAGAGUGUGCUGGAUAAAUACUUGGGAGUAAACUUAAAUGGGCCAAAUCCGGGAUCUUGAAGGGGAAGUCCUUUAAAGAAAUUGGUCCUGCAGAUUCUGGAGCAUAUCGAUGCUAUCCAUUUUCUAAGCUUUUCCUCGAUUGGUACUUUUACGUAUAAGUUAUUCAUAGCUAUAUAGAAUAAAAAUCAUUACCUAUUCUAGGCAUUACUUUGUAAUUUAUUUCAGACCCAUUUGAUUUUGUAUAGAGAACAAAGUAAAGAGUGGCUUAAAAUCAACGCGAUUUAAGUUUCAACUUUAUACUCCCAUUAUCUCCAUUUAUCAUCUAGUUUUACAUAAAAACUGCCGAAGUAAACCAGCAGCGAAUGGACCUUUAUGUUUACCUCAUUUCUUCUAGCCAAUGAAAUCAAAUUCCUUUAGUGAACAAGGUUAAUGAGCCAAAAUUUCGUAGUUCAGGAGAAAUGAUGUAAGCAGCAAGUGAACCUAAAUGCUCUUUCCUGGUACUUGAGUUGGUGAUUGGAUUACCUAGCAGCUUCUGUUUAUCUACAGAGGAGACUGAAAAGUACAUUAGAAUGCACAGGCAAUGACCCCAUUUUCAAUUACUCUCCUAUUUUGACCCUUUCCCCCUAUGAUAUGUCAUUAUUCUUCUGGCUGUAUGUGAACUGAACUUGCUAAGAUGACAACAAGGGUAGGAAAGCCAUUCUGAUAGGCCUAGUUAGAACGAAAAAGAAAAUUGUGGAGGGAUAUAGAUGGGGAAUGUAAUUAGUAAUGAAUAUUCGUUUCUUGUAGUGUGGGGAGUUCCAAGAUGGGAUUUAGAAAAAAAGAUGAGGGGUAGCAUAGGGGUCUGCAGUAGAAGGGGGGAAAAAAAAGGAAAGAAAAGCAUUGGAAAGAAGGGUCUGUAAAUAAUCGAGAUUGGAAGGAAGAAAAGAGGGAAAAGAAAAGGUAGCUGAGAUGAGAUUCCCUGAUGGAUGAUGACAUGGGCAGGAAUCACAUAAAGGUAGAUGCACCACUUUGCAUUAUCACCAUGGCUUUUUACUCUCAUCAACUUGGGAGAAUAUUAAAUAUAUACACAUACUAAGCUGAUUGAACCUCUGUUUAAGCUGGCUACUAAAGGUUGUGUUGUGGGGAAUAUGCACAGAAAUUGAUAAAGCCCCUCUUAGCAACAACAGUAACAAAAGAAAGACUCACCACAGAAUUGCAAUUCAAUCUUCCAGAGCUCUUUGUUGGUAUCAUUUUCAUCCCCGUUGACAUUUUUCUUCUUUAUUUUCUUUAUUUUCCUUUUCUUCCUUUAGGUUUUAGUUUGCAGCAGCACCCAAAUCCCGGACCACCACCACAAACACUCGCUCACUGAGGCACAAAUCCACAUAACACCAUGAACUUAGGUUGCCUUUAUUUUUUAAGAGAGGAAAAAAAGAAAAAAAACACUCGCACUUGCAACUAAAUUUUACUGCUCCUUCCACCAUCUGACUUCACAAAAGGCUUCUCUAUUCAAAUAGUUCCAGUAAUUUCUCAGUACCUCUAGAAAAGUUGUGAAGAAGGGAAAAAAAAAACAUCUUGGGAUUUGAUUUUUUCAACUCGACCCAUGAUGUGGAAAAAGAAUGUUUUGCUCGUUCUUGCCUAUGAUUGUAAUGGUAAUAAGGUUG
This is a long non-coding RNA of Cucurbita maxima (winter squash), 3435 nucleotides long. RefSeq lists it as uncharacterized. The transcript is spliced from 3 exons. The record is from RefSeq and is a predicted model, not a curated record. NCBI's taxonomy places the organism in Eukaryota, Viridiplantae, Streptophyta, Magnoliopsida, Cucurbitales, Cucurbitaceae.